GUGGGUAUAGCUUAGUGGUAGAGCGCAUGCAUGGCAUGCAUGAGGUCCUGGGUUCAAUUCCCAGUAUACUUC
RNAcentral lists this transfer RNA (72 nucleotides) under Camelus bactrianus (Bactrian camel). It matches the Rfam family "tRNA". From Rfam's summary of the family: Transfer RNA (tRNA) molecules are approximately 80 nucleotides in length. Their secondary structure includes four short double-helical elements and three loops (D, anti-codon, and T loops). Further hydrogen bonds mediate the characteristic L-shaped molecular structure. tRNAs have two regions of fundamental functional importance: the anti-codon, which is responsible for specific mRNA codon recognition, and the 3' end, to which the tRNAs corresponding amino acid is attached (by aminoacyl-tRNA synthetases). tRNAs cope with the degeneracy of the genetic code in two manners: having more than one tRNA (with a specific anti-codon) for a particular amino acid; and 'wobble' base-pairing, i.e. permitting non-standard base-pairing at the 3rd anti-codon position. Lineage: Eukaryota; Metazoa; Chordata; Mammalia; Artiodactyla; Camelidae. The record is from Rfam by way of RNAcentral. RNAcentral also lists the same sequence under 2 other names.